GCCGGAAGCGGAAGUAGCGAGGUUUCCAUGGCGGCGGCCGGAAGCGGAAGUAGCCUAGUCUCCAUGGCGGCGGCCGGCGGUCCCGUGUUGUGGCGGCGGCUCUUGGGCCUGCUGCCUCACGGGAGGCUGGGCCUGGCCGCGCUGCUUGGGCGCCUCUCGGACCGGCUGUCCCUCGGCCGGGACCGGCGCUCCCGGAGAUCAUCGUGGCUGCUGGUGGCCCCAUUGCUCACCCCUGCGGUUCCUCAGGUCACAGCCCCAUCGUUCUGCGUUUGUCCUGAGGGGGCGCACAGGUUCCAGUGGAUCAGGAACCUGGUUCCAGAGUUUGGGGUCUCCAGCUCUCACAUCCAGGUGCUCUCCUCCCCAACUGAAUUCUAUGAGCUCAUGAAGGAACAGAUAAAGGCAGCCAAGCAGCGAGUGGUGGUGGCUUCGCUGUACCUUGGAACAGGACUCCUAGAACAGGAGCUGGUGGAUUGCAUAGAAGAAACACUGGAGAGGUCACUGCAGGCAAGUGGGCCCUCUGACUUCAGAGUUUCCAUUCUCCUAGAUUUCACAAGGGGAUCUCGAGGCAGGAAGAACUCUCGAACCAUGUUACUUCCACUGCUGAGAAGGUUUCCAGAGCAAGUCCGUGUAUCCCUCUUCCACACUCCAAAUCUGCGUGGGCUUCUCAAACGCUUAAUCCCUGAGCGUUUCAACGAAACCAUCGGGCUGCAGCACAUCAAGGUUUACCUCUUUGAUGAUAACGUGAUCCUGAGUGGCGCAAACUUGAGUGACUCGUACUUCACCAAUCGGCAGGACCGCUAUGUGUUCCUACAGGACUCUUCGGAGAUCGCCGAUUUCUUCACUGAACUAGUGGAUGCAAUUGGAGAUGUGUCACUGCAGUUACAGCCAGAUGAUACAGUCCAGAUGAUGGAGGGGAUGGUGCAUCCUUACCAAGGAGACAAGACGGCAUAUUGUGAAGUGGCAAAUAGGAGAGUAAUGGAAGUGAUCAACGCUGCCAGGACACGACAAGAACUCCACACGCAGACUUUUCAUGGAAGGCGAUCAGAAGGAGAUCCGUUAUUGCCCCAGCGAGAACCUAAUGCAGGAAGGGACCAAAAACCAGAACCGGACACCUGGAUUUAUCCACUAAUUCAAAUGAAACCCUUUGGGAUUCAAAUAGAUGAGAGAGUCACAGAGACGUUGCUGACAGAGGCAGAGCGAGGUGCCAGAAUAUACCUCACCACUGGCUACUUCAACCUCACGCAAGCCUACAUGGAUCUCGUUCUGGGCACCAGAGCAGAGUAUCGGAUUCUACUGGCCUCACCGGAGGUGAAUGGGUUCUUUGGUGCCAAAGGGGUGGCAGGUGCCAUUCCUGCUGCCUAUGUUUACAUUGCACAUCAGUUUUACAACGAGGUGUGCUGCCUUGGCCAGCAAGACAGGGUCCAACUGCAGGAGUACUCCAGGAAUGGAUGGACUUUCCACGCUAAAGGCCUCUGGCUGUACUUGGCAGGAAGCAGUCUACCCUGCCUGACUCUGAUUGGCUCUCCUAAUUUUGGGUACAGGUCGGUUCAUCGGGACCUGGAAGCUCAGGUGGCAAUAGUGACAGAAAAUCGUGACCUGCAGCAGCAGCUCCAUCAGGAGCAGGAGCAGCUUUACCUCAAGUCAGGCGUCGUGUCGUCAUCUACAUUUGAACAGCCAACCCGCUAUGUAAAGCUGUGGGUGAAGCUAGUAACGCCUCUGAUUAAGAACUUCUUUUGAAAGGAGAAAGGAUCUUCCUCUAGGGAUUGAAGAACCAGGACUACUGAGGCCUCAUAAAUGGCCAGAUUGAAGGUCCAGACGUAGGUGGGGCCUCGCGUGCGAGUCUUGUAGACUGGGCACUCGUAGACGUUCUUGGUGUCCAUACGGUCCACAGGGAUGGCUCUGAUGAAGAUGACUGGCAUCGAGGGCGUUAACUCCUUCAGCCGAGCGUCUGUGAUGACACCACUAGGAAUGUCCCACCGAGCACCUGCAGUGUUAUGGCUUAGUCAGUAUACCAGCUGCCAUGGGUUCUAUUUGCUGUAUCUGCUGGGGGGAAGAGUUCUCCUAGAAGCAUGGUUAAGGGUCAGCUGGAGGACCAAAGGGCUGUACUGAAGUAGCCUGGGCUUAGUCACCCCUAACAAUAUUACUAAGGAUAAGAUCUCUAACUACAAUGGUCAAUUCUGUCCUUACUCUCCCCCCCCAGGGCCCAUGUCAGGGGAGACUGCACAGCUUGGGGAAGAAUGGUAAAUAUGGAAACUCUCCCAUAGCAUCUGCUGGGCAUGGACCUAAGCUUGACAGUACAGUGAUCCUGCCAGGGCCUCAUCCCUCUGUGUUUAUUAGCUGUAAGGGACCUCAAACUACAGCUGAGAGAAUAUUCCCUGAGUCCAGUCAUAGCUUCCUUAUUUAUAUAUAUAUAUGAGACCCACAUAACAUCAGCUGUCUCUGCUCUGAGGUUCACCUGUAGCUGUCUUAAUUUCCAAAAUAAAUAAAUACUAAUGGUCACUGUUUGUCUGUUAGAUGAGGGCUGCCCUCUGCUGGCAUGUUUCUGACAAUGAUGCACAAUAAAGGCAGCUGCUACCCAAA
RNA transcript from Chrysemys picta bellii (western painted turtle), 2580 nucleotides. It is a transcript of the gene named phosphatidylglycerophosphate synthase 1, with no coding region annotated. The record is from RefSeq and is a predicted model, not a curated record. Lineage: Eukaryota; Metazoa; Chordata; Testudines; Emydidae.